UUGGAGGGCAAGUCUGGUGCCAGCAGCCGCGGUAAUUCCAGCUCCAAUAGCGUAUAUUAAAGUUGUUGCAGUUAAAAAGCUCGUAGUUGGAUCUAGGGACGCGCAUUUCAAGCGCCCGUGUCGUCGGGUCAAACCGGCGACUGCGUUGGCGUUGCGGGCUCGGUCCGUCGGUGCCCACAAAAGCAUCGGCGUGUCAACCGGCCCGCCCGUCCCCUCCUUCUGGAUUCCCGUUCCUGCUAUUGAGUUAGUGGGGACGUCACAGGGGGUCCAUCGUCGGUCAUGCAAAUGGCCGGCGGUGGGUCUCUGGGGCCCAGAUCGUUUACCGUGAAAAAAUUAGAGUGUUCAAAGCAGGCAGAUCCAAUUUUCUGCCACCGAAUACAUUAGCAUGGGAUAAUGGAAUAGGACCCUGUCCUCCUAUUUUCAGUUGGUUUUGGCAGCGCGAGGACUAGGGUAAUGAUUAAUAGGGAUAGUUGGGGGCAUUAA
RNAcentral lists this ribosomal RNA (483 nucleotides) under uncultured Acanthamoeba. RNAcentral describes it as "SSU rRNA". It matches the Rfam family "Eukaryotic small subunit ribosomal RNA", at positions 548 to 894 of the family's 1831-position model. The record is from RNAcentral. Lineage: Eukaryota; Discosea; Longamoebia; Acanthamoebidae.